RNAcentral lists this ribosomal RNA (409 nucleotides) under uncultured bacterium. RNAcentral's name for it is "bacterial SSU rRNA". It matches the Rfam family "Bacterial small subunit ribosomal RNA", at positions 358 to 765 of the family's 1533-position model. The record is from RNAcentral.
CGGAUUGCAUGGGGGGAACCCUGAUCAGCCUGCCGCGUGUGUGAAGAAGGCCUUAUGGUUGUAAAGCACUUUAAGCGAGGAGGAGGCUCUCUUGGUUAAUACCCAAGAAGAGUGGACGUUACUCGCAGAAUAAGCACCGGCUAACUCUGUGCCAGCAGCCGCGGUAAUACAGAGGGUGCGAGCGUUAAUCGGAUUUACUGGGCGUAAAGCGUGCGUAGGCGGCUUUUUAAGUCGGAUGUGAAAUCCCCGAGCUUAACUUGGGAAUUGCAUUCGAUACUGGGAAGCUAGAGUAUGGGAGAGGAUGGUAGAAUUCCAGGUGUAGCGGUGAAAUGCGUAGAGAUCUGGAGGAAUACCGAUGGCGAAGGCAGCCAUCUGGCCUAAUACUGACGCUGAGGUACGAAAGCAUGGG